RNAcentral lists this ribosomal RNA (253 nucleotides) under uncultured bacterium. Its description in RNAcentral is "partial 16S ribosomal RNA". It matches the Rfam family "Bacterial small subunit ribosomal RNA", at positions 524 to 776 of the family's 1533-position model. The record is from RNAcentral.
GACGGAAGGUGCAAGCGUUGCUCGGAAUCACUGGGCGUAAAGGGUGCGUAGGCGGCCGUGCAAGUCUGGCGUGAAAGCCCCGGGCUCAGCCCGGGAAGUGCGCUCGAAACUGCGCGGCUCGAGUGCCGGAGGGGAGAGUGGAAUUCCUGGUGUAGCGGUGAAAUGCGUAGAUAUCAGGAGGAACACCGAUGGCGAAGGCAGGUCUCUGGGCCGAUACUGACGCUGAGGAGCGAAAGCGUGGGGAGCGAACAGG